Molecule: non-coding RNA, 367 nt
Organism: Bacteroidetes bacterium 43-93
Lineage: Bacteria; Pseudomonadati; Bacteroidota
Source: Rfam
CUACAAACACGGGUUAUCGCUGCUGCACAUGCAGGAGAGGAAAGUCCGGACAGUAUAGAGCAGCGCACCACUUAACGGGUGGGGGAUGGGCAACCGUCUACAGAGAGUGCCACAGAAAAUAACCGCCGCUGGAAACGGAGGUAAGGGUGAAAACGUAGGGUAAGAGCCUACGCAUAAGGCAGGCAACUGCAAUAUGGGGUAAACCUUGCGCACUGUAAUGCCAAAUAGGCGUACGAUUGAGGGCUGCUCGCCCGAUGUACGUGGGUUGGCAGCUAGAUCUUACCAGCAAUGGUAAGGCAAGAUAAAUGAUAACCGUUUCGCCGCCUGGCGGAAUUACAGAAUCCGGCUUAUAAGGGUUUGUAGUUGU